GAUGAACGCUGGCGGCGUGCCUAAUACAUGCAAGUCGAGCGAACAGACGAGGAGCUUGCUUCUCUGAUGUUAGCAGCGGACGGGUGAGUAACACGUGGAUAACCUACCUAUAAGACUGGGAUAACUUCGGGAAACCGGAGCUAAUACCGGAUAAUAUUUUGAACCGCAUGGUUCAAUAGUGAAAGACGGUCUUGCUGUCACUUAUAGAUGGAUCCGCGCUGCAUUAGCUAGUUGGUAAGGUAACGGCUUACCAAGGCAACGAUGCAUAGCCGACCUGAGAGGGUGAUCGGCCACACUGGAACUGAGACACGGUCCAGACUCCUACGGGAGGCAGCAGUAGGGAAUCUUCCGCAAUGGGCGAAAGCCUGACGGAGCAACGCCGCGUGAGUGAUGAAGGUCUUCGGAUCGUAAAACUCUGUUAUUAGGGAAGAACAAAUGUGUAAGUAACUAUGCACAUCUUGACGGUACCUAAUCAGAAAGCCACGGCUAACUACGUG
RNAcentral lists this ribosomal RNA (497 nucleotides) under uncultured bacterium. Its description in RNAcentral is "partial 16S ribosomal RNA". It matches the Rfam family "Bacterial small subunit ribosomal RNA", at positions 28 to 507 of the family's 1533-position model. The record is from RNAcentral.